UAUCAACUUGAGAAUGCCCAGUCCAGUCAGAUCUCGGAAGCUAAGGAGGUCUGGGCCUGGUUAGUUCUUGGAAUGGAAACCGCUGGGAAUACCAGGUG
This 98-nucleotide ribosomal RNA is filed under the name Periophthalmus magnuspinnatus. Lineage: Eukaryota; Metazoa; Chordata; Actinopteri; Gobiiformes; Gobiidae. The record is from RNAcentral.